RNAcentral lists this ribosomal RNA (1474 nucleotides) under uncultured Bordetella sp. Its description in RNAcentral is "partial 16S-23S ribosomal RNA intergenic spacer". It matches the Rfam family "Bacterial small subunit ribosomal RNA". The record is from RNAcentral. Lineage: Bacteria; Pseudomonadati; Pseudomonadota; Betaproteobacteria; Burkholderiales; Alcaligenaceae.
AGUUUGAUUCCGGCUCAGAUUGAACGCUGGCGGGAUGCUUUACACAUGCAAGUCGAACGGCAGCACGGACUUCGGUCUGGUGGCGAGUGGCGAACGGGUGAGAAUACCGGAACGUGCCUAUAGCGGGGAUAACUACGCGAAAGCAAGAAGCAUUACCGCAUACGCCCUUCGGGGGAAAGCGGGGACCUUCGGGCCUCGCACUAUUAGAGCGGCCGAUAUCGGAUUAGUUAGUUGGUGGGGUAACGGUCACCUGGGGCGACGAUCCGUAGCUGGUUUGAGAGGACGACCAGCCACACUGGGACUGAGACACGGCCCAGACUCCUACGGGAGGCAGCAGUGGGGAAUUUUGACAAUGGGGGAAACCCUGAUCCAGCCAUCCUCUACAAGGCGAUGGUGCCUUCUAUUAAGCACCUUUUUGGCAGGAGGUGGAACACGAGGGCUGUCAUCCCGGCAACUGACGACCUGCAGAAUAAUAUCGACAACACGGGCCAGCAGCCAGUGGGUGAACACGAGGUGCAGCAUGUUGAAUCGGAAUUCAUUGGCGUAAAGCGGCAGCAGGCGGUUCGGAAAGAAAGAUGUGAAAUCCCAGAGCUUAACUUUGAACUGCAUUUUUUAACUACCGAGCUAGAGUGUGUCAGAGGGAGGUGGAAUUCCAAGUGUAGCAGUGGGAAAUGCGUAGAUAUGCGGAGGAACACCGAUGGCGAAGGCAGCCUCCCUGGGACACUGACGCUCACGCACGAAAGCGUGGGGAGCAAACAGGAUUAGAUACCCUGGUAGUCCACGCCCUAAACGAUGUCAACUAGCUGUUGGGGCCUUCGGGCCUUGGUAGCGCAGCUAACGCGUGAAGUUGGACCGCCUGGGGAGUACGGUCGCAAGAUUAAAACUCAAAGGAAUUGACGGGACCCGCACAAGCGGUGGAUGAUGUGGAUUAAUUCGAUGCAACGCGAAAAACCUUACCUACCCUUGACAUGUCUGGAAUCCCGAAGAGAUUUGGGAAAGGUCAAGAGAACCGAACACAGGUGCUGUAUGGUUGUCGUCAGCUCGUGUCGUGAGAUGCUGGGUUAAGUCCCGCAACGAGCGCAACCCUUGUCAUUAGUUGCUACGAAAGGGCACUCUAAUGAGACUGCCGGUGACAAACCGGAGGAAAGAGGCGACGUCAAGUCCCUCAUGGCCCUUAUGGGUAGGGCUUCACACGUCAUACAAUGGUCGGGAAUAGAGGGUCGCCAACCCGCGAGGGGGAGCCAAUCCCAGAAACCCGAUCGUAGUCCGGAUCGCAGUCUGCAACUCGACUGCGUGAAGUCGGAAUCGCUAGUAAUCGCGGAUCAGCAUGUCGCGGUGAAUACGUUCCCGGGUCUUGUACACACCGCCCGUCACACCAUGGGGAGUGGGUUUACCAGGAAGUAGUUAGCCUAACCGUAAGAGGGCGAUUACCACGGUAGGAUUCAUGACUGGGGUGAAGUCGUAACAAAGGUAA